GGAGCUGGAACUAGAACCCAUGAACUUCCAAAUCCCAGGCCCAUGCUGCGACUCAAAUCUGGAGAUGUGCACCAUCGCCUAGAAUUGGAAUGUGGACUUUUGAAUGCUUCCUUGAAGAAGACACCUGAAUGGCUAGAAUACAACCACCUGAGUGUCCGUAAAAAUGGCCAAGAAAGCACACCGAGCAGCAGAAGGAACCAGGAUUAGAAGGGUGCUUCAGAUGACCUCCCUGGGAAAAGAUAAAGCAUCACAAAACGCUGAUAAAAACAUGUCUUUGAUUUUUAGCUUUGCCAUCGCUGCCUGAGAAAAACACAUCAAAGACACUUAGCAUUUGCUUCUGUGACAACACUAUCACUGAAUCGGGGAGGGCAGAGAGGAGAAUCUUUUCGGAAAAUGUUUUGAGGUUCCACCCCCGUCUCAUUCCAGAUCAGAAAAAUACAUGCAAAUCAAUGUGGCUACUUAAUUUUACCUCAAGAUA
Tachyglossus aculeatus (Australian echidna) is the source of this 478-nucleotide long non-coding RNA. RefSeq lists it as uncharacterized. NCBI's taxonomy places the organism in Eukaryota, Metazoa, Chordata, Mammalia, Monotremata, Tachyglossidae. The record is from RefSeq and is a predicted model, not a curated record. The transcript has 3 exons.